CGGAUAAGCUUUAUUACGCUUUAAGACGGAUGCACGACGGAUACGCAAACAAGAAUAUCAAUUUUUCUGGAAGUCUGGUUAAAAGGGCAGGCGUCCAACUCGCCUCGUCUCUCUCGUUUGCUAUUUGUAUUCGUGGCGGUGGUGCACAUCGGUAUCCAACACAAGGGAACAUAUUGGAUCCACGUGCAUGCUGAUGUCGUCCAAUACUUGUUCUUUAUUGGAUGAACCACGCGGCGGAGAGAAUUUUAAAAACGCUAUCGGUAUAGCCGAUAUAUCGCCCGCCCGGUCGUGAAACCCGCUUGAAAAUAACCGCCCCGCGUCAAAUAUAAGGGAGGAGAAGAGGCAAGCGGGAGGAGGCGAGAUGAUAUCGGGAUUGUCAAUGGAGGGAAGGAAGAAGAAAAAGGAAAGGGGGUGAGUAACGUUACGAUCAAAUCUCCACUGUUCACUUUCGUGUAACUUAUAAACUGUUAGUCGUUCCCCCCAUCCCUGACGAUUUUCACCAAGUCGCGCAAAUAAGUCGACGCCAGACGAAAAAUAGAGUCAUAUUUCUGGGGGCAGCUGGCCGCCCGGCCACCGUCUCCACGGAGAUUCUAAUAAGAACCGCAUAAAGCUUAGAAAUUAAUGCCUUCCACCUAUCUUUCCCUCUCUUUCCCUCCUCCUUCCGCCCCCCCCUCCUCCCCUUUCCCUUGUUUUCUUACUUGCGAAAUCCGCUCGCGUCAGGACGCGCUUCGGAAUUUCUUGCUACUUUCCACGUCCUUUCUUUCUUCUCUCCAUCUUUUGUUCGAGGAACCACCUGGACUGACGUAAUCGGGAACCUCUCCUCCCCUCCUCUGCCCCUGAUUUAUGACGGGAAAAUAUCGUCGGUCCAGUGGCUUUCCGUUUGCCACAGUGUGUUAAAUCUGUCCCCCGGUGAAUCGUGAUUUCUCUGUUCCGUCCAAAUGGAUGGAAAGGCACGGGGCCAUUUGUUGAUCGUAUCGAUUCUCGCCGAUAUCGGCGAAGAAAGCUCGAUGCACGCGAAACAAUGUCGGUUUAAAAAAUUCAUAGGCACGAGGUUCGCUCUCCUUUCGUUUCGUCUCGUUUGUCGAACGCUCACGCUCGUAACGCGUAAGUUUUUUUCUUUUCCCAUUUCGUUUCGUUUUCUUUCACCCUCGAUUUACAUUCCCAAUCUUUACGCGCUUCAUACAUAUUCAACAAGAAU
Apis florea (little honeybee) is the source of this 1198-nucleotide long non-coding RNA. The record is from RefSeq and is a predicted model, not a curated record. NCBI's taxonomy places the organism in Eukaryota, Metazoa, Arthropoda, Insecta, Hymenoptera, Apidae.